GAGUUUGAUCAUGGCUCAGGAUGAACGCUAGCGGCAGGCUUAACACAUGCAAGUCGAGGGGUAUAGGUUUUCGGACCUAGAGACCGGCGCACGGGUGCGUAACGCGUAUGUAAUCUACCUUUUACAGAGGGAUAGCCCAGAGAAAUUUGGAUUAAUACCUCAUAGUAUUAUCGGAUGGCAUCAUUUGAUAAUUAAAGUUCCAACGGUAAAAGAUGAGCAUGCGUCCCAUUAGCUAGAUGGUAAGGUAACGGCUUACCAUGGCGACGAUGGGUAGGGGUCCUGAGAGGGAGAUCCCCCACACUGGUACUGAGACACGGACCAGACUCCUACGGGAGGCAGCAGUGAGGAAUAUUGGUCAAUGGGUGCAAGCCUGAACCAGCCAUGCCGCGUGCAGGAUGACGGUCCUAUGGAUUGUAAACUGCUUUUGUACGGGAAGAAACACUCCUACGUGUAGGAGCUUGACGGUACCGUAAGAAUAAGGAUCGGCUAACUCCGUGCCAGCAGCCGCCGCGGUAAC
RNAcentral lists this ribosomal RNA (517 nucleotides) under uncultured Flavobacterium sp. Its description in RNAcentral is "bacterial SSU rRNA". It matches the Rfam family "Bacterial small subunit ribosomal RNA", at positions 9 to 524 of the family's 1533-position model. Lineage: Bacteria; Pseudomonadati; Bacteroidota; Flavobacteriia; Flavobacteriales; Flavobacteriaceae. The record is from RNAcentral.